UGGGGAAUUUUGGACAAUGGGCGAAAGCCUGAUCCAGCAAUGCCGCGUGUGUGAAGAAGGCCUUCGGGUUGUAAAGCACUUUUGUCCGGAAAGAAAUCCUUGGCUCUAAUACAGUCGGGGGAUGACGGUACCGGAAGAAUAAGCACCGGCUAACUACGUGCCAGCAGCCGCGGUAAUACGUAGGGUGCAAGCGUUAAUCGGAAUUACUGGGCGUAAAGCGUGCGCAGGCAGUUCGCUAAGACCGAUGUGAAAUCCCCGGGCUCAACCUGGGAACUGCAUUGGUGACUGGCAGGCUAGAGUAUGGCAGAGGGGGGUAGAAUUCCACGUGUAGCAGUGAAAUGCGUAGAGAUGUGGAGGAAUACCGAUGGCGAAGGCAGCCCCCUGGGCCAAUACUGACGCUCAUGCACGAAAGCGUGGGGAGCAAACAGGAUUAGAUACCCUGGUAGUCCACGCCCUAAACGAUGUCAACUAGUUGUUGGGGAUUCAUUUCCUUAGUAACGUAGCUAACGCGUGAAGUUGACCGCCUGGGGGAGUACGGUCGCAAGAUUAAAACUUAAAGGAAUUGACGGGGUCAUAGCUGUUUCCU
RNAcentral lists this ribosomal RNA (586 nucleotides) under uncultured bacterium. RNAcentral describes it as "partial 16S ribosomal RNA". It matches the Rfam family "Bacterial small subunit ribosomal RNA", at positions 355 to 1375 of the family's 1533-position model. The record is from RNAcentral.